GACGACGCUGGCGGCGUGCCUAACACAUGCAAGUCGAACGGGGCAGCAAUGCCCAGUGGCGAACGGGUGCGUAACACGUGAGGAACUUGUCCAUCGGCGGGGGAUAGCCGGCCCAACGGCCGGGUAAUACCGCGUACGUCGGCGAGACCGCAUGGUCUUGCCGGGAAAGCAGCAAUGCACCGAUGGAGAGCCUCGCGGCCUAUCAGCUAGUUGGUGAGGUAAUGGCUCACCAAGGCGACGACGGGUAGCUGGUCUGAGAGGAUGAUCAGCCACAUUGGGACUGAGACACGGCCCAGACUCCUACGGGAGGCAGCAGUGGGGAAUAUUGCGCAAUGGGCGAAAGCCUGACGCAGCGACGCCGCGUGUGGGAUGACGGCCUUCGGGUUGUAAACCACUGUCGCGAGGGACGAAGAUCUGACGGUACCUCGAAAGGAAGCACCGGCUAACUCUGUG
RNAcentral lists this ribosomal RNA (453 nucleotides) under uncultured bacterium. Its description in RNAcentral is "bacterial SSU rRNA". It matches the Rfam family "Bacterial small subunit ribosomal RNA", at positions 33 to 507 of the family's 1533-position model. The record is from RNAcentral.